Thalassophryne amazonica is the source of this 200-nucleotide long non-coding RNA. RefSeq lists it as uncharacterized. The transcript has 3 exons. Lineage: Eukaryota; Metazoa; Chordata; Actinopteri; Batrachoidiformes; Batrachoididae. The record is from RefSeq and is a predicted model, not a curated record.
GCACAGCCUCGGCUCCAGAACCACUCUCCUUGAUAGGGGUUGAGCCUUAUUCUUCUCUGGAGUUGCCCAGGCUGUGAGGCGCCGGGCGGGUGUGGAGAUACUCACGAGUGCCCGGCUGAGUGCCGCUACGUUGGCAUUUACCCCGGUAGAUGAGCGGGUCGCCUCCCUGUGCCUUUGGGUUGCAGGGGUGGAAACUCUGA